This 518-nucleotide ribosomal RNA is filed under the name uncultured bacterium. RNAcentral's name for it is "bacterial SSU rRNA". It matches the Rfam family "Bacterial small subunit ribosomal RNA", at positions 8 to 518 of the family's 1533-position model. The record is from RNAcentral.
AGAGUUUGAUCCUGGCUCAGGAUGAACGCUAGCUACAGGCUUAACACAUGCAAGUCGAGGGGCAGCAUUGGAGUAGCAAUACUCAGAUGGCGACCGGCGCACGGGUGAGUAACACGUAUCCAACCCGCCGCUUACUCGGGGAUAGCCUUUCGAAAGAAAGAUUAAUACCCGAUGGUAUAAAGAGUUCGCAUGUUCUCUUUAUUAAAGAAUUUCGGUAAGCGAUGGGGAUGCGUUCCAUUAGAUAGUUGGCGGGGUAACGGCCCACCAAGUCUACGAUGGAUAGGGGUUCUGAGAGGAAGGUCCCCCACAUUGGAACUGAGACACGGUCCAAACUCCUACGGGAGGCAGCAGUGAGGAAUAUUGGUCAAUGGACGAGAGUCUGAACCAGCCAAGUUAGCGUGAAGGAUGACUGCCCUAUGGGUUGUAAACUUCUUUUAUAAGGGAAUAAAGUGAGGGACGUGUCCCUUUUUGUAUGUACCUUAUGAAUAAGGAUCGGCUAACUCCGUGCCAGCCGCAGC